CCACUCAGGUGUGUUCAGACACUUGUAAUGUAUAAUCUGGUGCAUGUAAUGUGUCGCGCGCUCGCGGAAGCUUUGCGCACGCGCUGCUUUGCUGCAUACCUGACAGCUGUCAAAGAAGGCAAGAAAACAUAGAUUGAUUAUGUAGUAAGUUAUUUAAACAGAUAUUUUAAUCAGAUAUGGGCUUGUGUGUGAGGGAGCGCGAGAAAGAGCAGCUAGCGCGUGCCCCUGUUGCUUUGCGCGGUGUUUAACUACUACAGCAGGUCACUUGAAACACAAAAACAAACCAACGAGAGACAAGUGUUUAUUUGAUGAGGGUCGCCGGCCUUUGUCAUGUAUAUUUUGUCACGAAUAGACCAUCUGGAAUACCAGUUAUCUUACAGAGGAACCGGCUUAAUUGCCGUUAAUUUAAUGAAGACUUUAUUUUCGCCGGACAGAUGCAUUGGACGCGAAAAAUUACGCACUAGAAGUCGCGCUCUGUGUAAAUAAGUGUUUAUGAUAUGAACUGAAAAAGAAGGAUAAACAGUAACGUGGGAAAGGGAUAAUUUUAAUAAAAGAAAUGGACAUGUGAUUCAGGAAUGGCCGGAUGAAUGUAAAUGUGAGGGGGAUUUCCAAAUGGAGAGGUUAAUAGUCAUGAUGAUGUCAUCCACAUGCUGGUGGUACAGCGGGGCCGAUGUUAAUACGUUAAGUGAUGAAGGCAUGUCUGCUCUGGCUGUCUGUCAUGUCCUCUACUACCCACUUCAGUCUUUACAUGAGACGCUGGCUGAGCGAGUGACACAGAAUAUCAGCCCAGAGCCACAGCCUUUGGAAGCCAUCUCCCAUGAAUCCUCUCCAGAUCCAAUGACAGGAACACCCAAAGAUGAAAGUGGCCAAGAGACAUUUGAGACACCAAGAGAAAUCAACCGAAUUGACCAAAGUCUUGAACCAGAGAACCUCAAUAACUUGGAGAAACUUGAAGCUCAAGAGCAAAUAAAUGAGGACAUAAAUGAAGAUGAGAUACUGUACUUCUUCAGCCUCGGAGGAACCUCAACUUCAUCAAAUCAAUCAAAAUACAGACCCAAACAAGGAAGUAGUUGUUCAACUUGAACAUGAAGAAGACAAACCAGCAGAAGAACCAUAUGUUAUAAUGUCAAGAUCUAUUCAAGUUUUUGAUGAUAAAAUUCCAGUGGGUUCUGUAUCGUGCCAAGAGAAGGAAGCAAAGACAGUCGUUAACUCUGAGGAAGAGUUGACAAAUCUGGAGAUCGAUGAAAACCUGGAAAGGAACAUUAGAUCAGCUGUACCUACUUUUGAUUCUGUAUGUUCUAUGGCUAGUUUUCAUAUUCACGUCACAGAGGAGAUCCUGCAGAAGAGUGCUGAUAUUCUGUGCCAGACAGGAACAGUGACUUCGACAGACACCCAGGAGACAGUCCGGAUAAUUGCACUUCUUAAGACAGCACAUCACAGCUGCUGGGUUACAAGUUAUUUGGCUG
This is a long non-coding RNA of Cyprinus carpio carpio, 1466 nucleotides long. Lineage: Eukaryota; Metazoa; Chordata; Actinopteri; Cypriniformes; Cyprinidae. The record is from Ensembl.